CCUUUUAUGUCACCUCGGUACCCUGGAGGUCCAAGGCCCCCAUUGAGGAUACCUAAUCAGGUAAGAUUUGUGUGCUACUUACGUUUUUUAAAAAAUGAAUAAAGAGCUUGAAAAUGUCACAAAUAUUUCUUAUCAGAUAAAAUAUAAAAUUAUCCUUUCUCUACCUCACUUAAUGCUACUUCUAGUAAUAUAUAGUCUACUUCAAGGGUUGUCUAACUAUUGCCUAUAGGCUAUUUUUGUAAAUAAAAUUUAUUAGAAUGGUACCACAUAAAUUUAUGUAUUCUCUGUGGCUACAUUUACACUACAGUACAGAUUUGAGUGGUCAUGAUGAGACCACAUUUGGUUUGCAGUGGUAAAAUAUUUACUGUCUGGAUCUUCACAGAAAAUGUUUGUCAACCUUUGGAGUCUACCUUUAACUUUGAUCCUAUUUUAAAGAUUUAGAUAAUUUGGGUAAAUGCUGAUUAUCCUUUCAUUUAAAAGAUGACAAUGAAUUUUCAGUGAACAUAUCUUGGUUUACUUUCAUAUAAUAUAGCUUCAACAUCAUGGCUCUAACACUCAUAUAAAUGUUGCCUAGUUAUAAUGUCAUCUCAGGCAAAUAAUUAACUACUUCUAAAUAGUUAGAUUUAUUAAUAAGCAGAUAUUUAACAAUAUAGCUUCCAAUUUUAGUCACAAGAGCUCUGAAGUUCCACAAUAUUUUGUUCUUAUUUUUUAAAUCAAUAUUUAUUUACUAAGGAGAAUAAAAUACAAUUUUUUACUUGUGGAGUUGUUGUUUACUUGAGGAUAUAGGCAGUGUGCCUGUGUGUAUAUAAUAAAAGCAGAAAUUAAGUGAUGGUAUGGUAUGUUUAAAUCAAAAUAAUUUUCACAAAUAAUUGUCACAUUCUCUAAUUCUGUUAUUGUGUACUGCAGUAAUAUUCCCAAUAUAAAGUAAACCCUCUUAUCACAAUAAAUUCCUUUUCAUUCUUAUUCUCUUUCCUUUUUUUACUUUUUUCACUAUCAAAAAUGGAACAAGAUAGUUAGUUGUUAAUUCACUUCAUAGUGACAAAAUUGUGCUUCUCCAUUCCAAAUUUAUACUGAAAUUAUGCUAUGCCUUUGAAGUUUCCCAAUAUGCUGCUGUUCUCCAAUCCUAGUGCACAGCCAAGUACCAAUACCCCCAUCCCAAGGGAGAAAUUUAAGCAGAAACCAAUGCUGGGUCAUCCCAUAUUUUGAUGCUUGCCACUCUUCACAUUAGCAGCUGGAGCAUUUUCUCCUACAGACUGAAUCCACUGUUCAGUACAUGGGACCAGGGAAUGAUCCAUGAAGUAAAAAAGAAAAGUACAUGAAUGCUUCAACAUAUGGGAAUUAAUAUUUUCUCUAUGGGUGAACCUGUAUAUAUUGACAAUCAUAUCUACCUAUAGAGUUGUCUAAGUAUUUUAAAUUUCUUUUUAGAGAAUAGAAAUUUGUAUCUUUUAUGGAGUUUACAUGAUGUUUCAAAUACCCUUCCCUAGCUUUUUUGUAUAGCAUAAGUCUAGGAAGUUCCUGAAAAUGUGAAUUAGCAAAAUGUGAAAUUUUUGUGUAUUACCAGAAUAUUUCCGAUUCUAUAUAUUCUGUAGCAGUGAUGAAAAUGGUUUUGAAUUAUGCAUUGAAUAAUUGCAUUCAUUUAACAUUGUCAAAAUGCCUGACAUUUGUAGGAUACUGUGCUAGGUUUUGUAUCUAUAGAGGCUAACAAAAUUGAAGACACACUUCUAAGAAGAGGUUGUUGGUAGGGAUGUGAAAUUGUAAAUCUAGAUUGUUUGACAUUUUUUAAGAAAAACUAUGUAAUGUCUUUGGAAUUUUUAAGGAAACAUUUUCAAAAUUUGAAGAUAAUAAAGUUAUUAUACAGGCUUUCUUUCUUCAAAAAUUUUAAAGUCUUUACUACCUAAACAUGUUUUAAAACAAUUCUUCUCCUCUAUGAGUGGCUCUUUUUUGUUUAUACCCACCAACUCAUAUACAUAUUUAGUUAAACUUCAGUAAUCCAGAUAUCUGUUGUCCAAACUUAAAGUGAUUAUAUUUAUACUGUUUUAAAAUACUCAUGUUAGUACUUUGAAUAAUAUUACUGUAGAAAAUGUUUAAUCUAUUUGGAGCAUGCCCUUUCAAGCUCAAAGAUGAUUCUUCUAUUUCAUUAUGUAGUCAUUAAAAUAGAAUUGUCAACUAUUUUGUUGUCUAAUUAGAAUGAUAUAUCAAAAUAUUUUAAAUUUAGGUUUCAUUUAAAUUGAUCAUGAUUUAGUAAAAUUUAUAUAUUGUUUCUAAGAAAGUAGGAAGUGAAAUAUUAACCUCUUCAGUAGGAUUGACGAUUCAUUUUGAAUAUAUGAAAGAUAUAUCUUUAAUAAACAUACCCUUUACAACUUAUAGUUACUAAUUUGACUACAGAUUUUAAUUCAGGAUUUUCCAAUCUUUUUUUUAAUUUCAGACUAAAUCCAUAAUAGUUUAUACUGUUUAUAUAUUUAUAGGACUGGGUGUUCAGAAUGUGGUCUGAUAUUACUAUGCCGAAAAAUAUAAGAACAGGUAAUAGUAUCUAAAAUGUUGAAAAUCAAACCACAAAAAAUAUAACAGGGAAUAAAUAUAAAUGAAUAAACAUUUAUAUGAAUAAAAAAAGAAAUUAAAUCUACAAAAUAUAUCGGACUAUACAAUUUUACAUUGAACUUGGUUCAAUUCUCAGAAGGGGACCUGAUUGAAACAUAACCUAGAGUAGAACAGGUCUUUAUUCUUUUAUUUAUGGAUAGAAUAUCUAAUCAAAAAAAAUUCACAGCAUGUAUUCAACACUAUAUUGAAGAAUCAAGACAACCAGAAAUACAGUGACUGUUAAUGAAGUGAGUAACACCAAGAAUAAACUAUUGAUUUGGUGAUCCUGUGUAAUUUUGCAAAUUUAUACUCUAUUUCUCUCCAUUCCUGAAAAAAGUAUCAAAAAUUGAGAUAACAUAUAGUAAAACCUGUUGUCCAUUUUAUAUGCUGAAGUUGAAUUCAGUAUUCUAAAAACAUACUACAUCUGGCCAUUCUACUGAGAACUUCAAACAUAUCUGUCAAAUAAUAGUUGAGUGGUUAAAUAAAUUAUAUUUAAAUAGUGAAAUAGUGUACAGUUAUUAAAAGACAUGCUAUAGAAGUAAAUAUUGAUAUGCUAACGUGUUUAUGAUAAUAUUAUAGUAUUACCAAAUGUAAAAAUAUGUAAUAUAUAUAAAACAUAUGUAAAUAUAUCACCUUUGUUACAUAAAUGUACAAACUUUCUUUCAUUCAUCUUUACCCCUACCACACAUAUACUAACAUUUGUCAAAAACAACCUGUAAAGACCAUAUCCUUUAUUUCUGAGUAGUAAGAUUAUGAGUGAAUUUUGCUUUUUAAAAAUUUCAAUAUUUUUUAAGGCUUGCAUUGAGCUGGUAUAAAAUCUGUGAUUAGAGAAAGAUAUUAUUAAUUAUAUAAAUAGAUACAUGAAAAUACAAAUAUUGUAUUCAUUUGGUAAUUACAUAUAUAUAUAUAUAUAUAUAUAUAUAUAUAUAUAUGAUUGUCCUUUGGUAAUAUUUAAUGUACAGUUCUUAUUGGUAAGAAGAAAAAUACAAUGGAUGCAAAAGAUAAGCAGAUCUUAAUAAGACUUUUCAGAUAUGGAAAAUAUUAGCACGCAUUUGAACAAAAAAAAUUUUUGCUUGGACACUUACUCAGAUAUUGAAAAUAAAUUUACCAUAUCCCCAUGCAACCAAGACGUACAUUUCAAGCAAAAUGCAUAGUUAUUCUUCAUUACAUGUUCUGUUAUUUAAGAUAAAUAGUAUUUCACAUGUCCUUUACCAGUAAUUUUCUAUUUUUAGAAAACUUUUCAUAUGUAGAAUUUAACUUUUAUUUAGUGAUAUCAAUAUGAAACAAAUAAGAGAAAUCUGUUCUAUAGAAUAAAUAAUAGGAGUCUUAUCACCCUAUUAAGGAAUUUCUAAUUUUAAAAAUUAAAAAUGAAGUCAGGCAUGGUGGCACAAACCUAUAAUCCCAGUGACUUGGGAGGCUGAGCCAAGAGGAUUUUAAGUUCAAAGUCAGCCUCAGCAUCUUAAUAAGACUCUGUCUCAAAAUGAAAAGGACUGGAGAUUUAUCUCAAUAGUAAAGCACUGGAUUCAAUUCCCAGUACCAAAAUAAUAAUAAUAAUAAUAAUAAUAAUAAUAAUAAUAAUAAAUGAAAAUUAAAUAUUUUUACAUGUUUAAUAUAAAUUAGUGAGUAGUGUUGCAAAGCAUUAGGAGCUUCUUAUUUUUAUUAUGAUGAUUACUAUUAAUAUACUUAAAUAACUAUUUAAAAUCCAAUGAGACCAUCUUCAAAGCAUAUUUUUUCUUCAUGAAAAAAUAAAUUUUUAGUUUAUGGGUUAUGCCACACACACAAACACACACAUACACACACACACACACAUACACAUUCUUUCAGUUAUUUUCUACCUUUAUAGAACAAAGUAAGUAAAAAAAUUCAGUAUGUAUGGCAAAAUUAAUAAUAAUAAUAAUAAUAAUAGUAAUGACCGUCUCUUUCCCAAACCAAGAAAAGCUUAGACAGUGAACAGUAUAUAAUCUUACCCAGUUUGAGUUAUCUGGAGAUUUGUGAUAUAGUAUUUAAUUUCCAUCAAAACAGAUCUCAUUAUUUUAGAUUCAAAUAUAUCCUUUUGGGAUAUAGUCCAACCUAAAAAAUGCAUUGCCACUCAUUCAUUGACUAUUCAAAAUCACUCACAGAAAAAAAAAUUAAUAGGUAUUCUUUGAAGCUUACUGUGUACCAGGCACCAUUCUAAAUGUGGGGAUGUCACUGAAUAAACUAAGGAAAAUACCCUUUCUUAUUAAGCUGAUAUUCUAAUGUAACACCACCCCAUAGAACUUUCUGGCAUGAUGGAAAUGUUCUAUAUCUGUACUGUCAUGUGCAAUAGCAUGUUUAAUCACUUGAAAUGUGACUGGUAUGACCUUAAUUUUUAACUUGAAUAAUUUUAGUUAAUUUAAAUCGAAAUAGUUGCAUGUGACAAAGGGCUAUUACAUUCAUCUUCAUAGUUGAGUGAUUAAAAUCAAAAAUUUAAAAAUAUAUAUCAAAUGUUGACUUAUAUAUAGGAACAAACAGUCUUACCCUAAAUAAUAUUUCUGUAUUUCAAUAUCUUCCCUAUUGAUGAUGGAUUUUUAGAGAAAAAAGAAAAUGAUGGUAGUAUUGUUCAAGGGACCUAGGUGGGUAAUGCACCUUCAGUCCAAAAACCAGUCAUGUAUGACUCUGAGCAGGUGACCUUUUAGGUUUUGUUUUUCUUACCCAUAAAAUGAGAGAAUAGAUUCAGAUGUUUUUAAAAUCCCUUCUAGUUCUAACAUUUCUUGAUUAUUUAAUUCUACUUCAUAUCAUAUAAUUGAAAGACCUAUUAAAAACUUGUGAUGGACAAUCAGGUUAACUAAAUUAUAUCUUUAAAGCGUUGAGAAAUUCACUAUUUUUUUCAUCAUCGGAGAGUGUUUAGUCUAGGAAAUAUAUACCAGACCUUAAGUUCCUAGGGGAUCUUAUCACUGAAAUCCUGAGGCAUCCUUUAUAGAUGAAAUAAUUCUUUUAUGAAGCAAGCAGUUCCUCCAUUUAAUUACUUCUGCUUUGGUAAAAUUUCUAUUACUUCAUUUAUUUUAAAUCCUAGGGUUUACAUUUUGUGUUUCAGUACUUUUAGAAUGUGUUGAUGUGAUUAUAAGCCUUGAUUCUACUUACUUAUCAAUAGUUUAACUGUGAACAAAUUUAACAAAUCAUAAUCUUCAUCAUCAAAAAGGAUUAAUAGUAAUGUCCUCAAAAAAUUAUUGUAAGCAUUGAUUGAAUAAAAUAAUAAAUAUAAGGAAUUUGGCAUAAUUCACAUACACUGGCUCACAAGUGUUUAUUAUCAUUGAUACUAUGCUGUUUUUACAUAUCCUCAUAAUUAGUGUUAUUUUUCUAUGAAAGUGAAGAUCUUUUAUAGAACAAACAACAUGUGCCAAAAUUCCAACUAGUUAAACAGGUCUGAAUGUAAUACAUUUAACAUGUUACAAUUAUGGCAAUCAUCUCAACCACAAGAUGCAUAAGUUUAUUUGUUCUGAUAUUAAGGGUUUAAGGAACACAUCAGUUAUUCCCAUUGAUGAACAAAGCUGUCAUCUGGUUAUCUCAGGACUGAUAAAAGGUAUUUUAAAAGAUAGAGAUUUGACUUAUUCUGAAAGAUAAAUAUUAAUGGCUCAAGAAUUUAUAGAGACUCGUUUUGAAAGACAACUUUACAUUGCUCAAGAUUUUUAUAAGAUUAUGCUACAUUAUUAAGUGAUGAGUAGAAACAAGAAAGACUUUUCAAUUGUCCUGCUAUUCUAAGAUAAAUUAGAAAAAGUAAAAUUUUGAAGAAAACCAUUACCAGCGAAAAAACAUCAUUGUCUACAAUGAAACUUGGAAUUAAGUGUCAAAGUUCUUAAGUAUGAGAAAACUUGAAAAAGCAAGAACUUCAAGUUUACAAUUGAAAAUAAUGUUGAUUAGUCAUAUAUUUCCAAUUCUCCUCUUCCCUCAUUUCUUUAUAACUAUUAAUAGUAUUGGCACCUUUUUUCUUCUUGAAACUCUCAUGUAUUCUGAGGAGAUACUGAUUUUGGUUGUCUUCCUAGUUUUAUACCUAUUCAGUUUUAGUUUCCUUUCUUACCUCCUUUUGGUGCUUUUAAAGAAUCAAAUCUGGGGAAGGAAGAUGGCGGCGAGGGGAGUGCAUUGCCCCCGUGUGCUGCUUCACUGUGUGGGAGUAUGACAAGUCAGGACGGCUAAAGGAUAUCUUGUUAGGAAUUUCCAGCAAUAGUGGGGUGCUCCGGAACCUGGAGGAAGGAUUUCCAUCGCACGAGGAUCGGCUACGGGGACUCAAACGCGAGAGGUUUGUCGCACGGAGGGUAACACUGCUUAUUCAGCAAAUCGCCCCGCGGCUAGAGUCUGCAGCGCGCGCUGGGAAACGAGGAGAUAGCGACGCAGGGAUACAGCGCUGCAGUUUCUGCCAGCCGUGCAAGCACCGUACUCAGGGCUGAAUUCUGGGUUCGAGACGGGGGAAGGAAGCGGUCCAUCUCGGUUCUCCACACCGGUCAGACCACAGAGGAGGCCAGCAGCCACCAUGUUGGAAAGCUGACGUCACCAUCCCUGUUUUCGACUGACCGCAGCUCAUUCAGCCAUAGAACAGGUAAUUUCAGGCUGCAAUUCGCCUGCGGCUUGCAGACAGAUUGCUAGGGUUCAGUGCCUGGGUGCUUCUUAGAACCUGAUCUUAUCGGAGCGAACACCGAGCGCGGGGCGGCCGAGUUCCGGCUCCCGGAACCGUCCCGGAACCGCCCUGGCCCAGGGCUGCGGAGCCUGCGGAGGCUGCUUCUUGGACCCUGCUCCUAUCAGAGCAUACACCAAGCACUAAGCGGCCGAAUUCCGGCUCCCGGAACUGAGCCCGCGGGGACUGCUUCUUGGAGCCUACACUUAUAGGAGCUUACACCGAGCACGGAGCGGCCGAGUUCCGGCUCCCGGAACUUCCCUGGCCCGGGGCUAGGAGCCCGCGGAAACUGCUUCUCGGUCCGGGUCCUGCUGAGGGCCGGUCAGGACUCACCCGUUGCUUUGGUUGCCCGGCAAGGGGAACGAAAUGCUGCCAUUCGCAUAGGAUACCAACAUGGCAGAGAUCUGAUGUCAUCAGAAAGCGGCGGAGGAGAGAACUUCAUCAAUACCAGCGGCGACAGAAACAGUUGGUCUCCUGGUAGGGGGGGUGAGGCACAGACACCCGAGUCUCCUCAAUUUGUCGUCGAGCCAGAGGGGAGGAGCCGGGCCGCCGCCAGCGCCCGGAGCAGGCCCAGCGGCUCGCCAGCGUGGUGACCGCGUGACCCCAAUUGGAGAGGGGGCGGAGCGGAGCCGCCACCCGCACCCGCAAGGUGGGCAGACCCGCGACCCAGUGGUACAUGGGCGUGGUAGGAGGGGCAGGGCAGAGCCGCCGUUCGCGCUUGCAAGGUAAACAGACCUGUGACAGCCUGGCGGGUCAGGCCCAGUGGCCUGCCAGUGUGGUACACACGUCACCCCAACUGGAGUAGGGGCAGAGCAGAUCCUUCUCCCACGCCCGGAUCAGGCCCUGCCGGUGUGGUGGUCACGUGACCCCAAUUGGAGUGGGGGCGGAGCGGAACCGCCACCCGUGCCCGCAGGGUGAGCAGACCUGUGACCAACCUGCAGAUCAGGCCCAGGGGUCCGCAGGCGUGGUAGGAGGGGCAGGGCAGAUCCGCCGCCCGCGCCUCCAAGGUAGGCAGACCUGCAACAGACCGGCGGAUCAGGCCCAGGAGCCUGCCGGCGGGGGACAAACACCACCCUAAUUGGAGUAGUGACAGAGCAGAGUCGCCUCCCUUGCCAGGAACAGACCCAGCAUCCUGCAGGCGGGGUAGUCACGACACCCCAAUUGGAGUAGGGGCAGAGCAGAGCCUCCACCCGUGCCCGAAAGGUGGGCAGAUCUGCGACCGACCAGCGGGACAGGCCCAGUGGCCUGCCGGUACGACAGACACGUCACCCCAUUUGGAGUAGGGGCAGAGUAGAGCCGCCGCCCGCGGAUGCAGGGUAGGCAAACCUGCAACCGACCAGCGGAUCAGGCCCGGUGGCCUGCCGGCGUGGUACACUCGUCACCCCAAUUGGAGUAGGGGCAGAACAGAGCCGCCGCCAGCGCCCAGAACAGGCCCAGUGACCUGCCGGCGUGGUAGCCACGACACCCCAAUUGGAAUAAGGAGAGAGCAGAGCCGCCGCCCGCGCCUGCAGGAAAGAUACGCAAGCANGCAUCCCUUUAUGUUCAAAACUCUAGAAAAACUAGGGAUAACAGGAACAUACCUCAAUAUUGUAAAAGCAAUCUAUGCUAAGCCUCAGGCUAGCAUCAUUCUGAAUGGAGAAAAACUGAAGGCAUUCCCUCUAAAAUCUGGAACAAGACAGGGAUGCCCUCUCUCUCCACUUCUGUUCAACAUAGUUCUCGAAACACUGGCCAGAGCAAUUAGACAGACGAAAGAAAUUAAAGGCAUAAAAAUAGGAAAAGAAGAACUUAAAUUAUCACUAUUUGCAGAUGAUAUGAUUCUAUACCUAGCAGACCCAAAAGGCUCUACAAAGAAACUAUUAGAGCUAAUAAAUGAAUUCAGCAAAGUGGCAGGAUAUAAAAUCAACACGCAUAAAUCAAAGGCAUUCCUGUAUAUCAGCGACAAAUCCUCUGAAAUGGAAAUGAGGACAACCACUCCAUUCAAAAUAUCUUCAAAAAAAAUAAAAUACUUGGGAAUCAACCUAACAAAAGAGGUGAAAGACUUAUACAAUGAAAACUACAGAACCCUAAAGAGAGAAAUAGAAGAAGAUCUUAGAAGAUGGAAAAAUAUACCCUGUUCAUGGAUAGGCAGAACUAACAUCAUCAAAAUGGCGAUAUUACCAAAAGUUCUCUAUAGGUUUAAUGCAAUGCCAAUCAAAAUCCCAACGGCAUUUCUUGUAGAAAUAGAGAAAGCAAUCAUGAAAUUCAUAUGGAAAAAUAAAAGACCCAGAAUAGCAAAAACAAUGCUAAGCAGGAAGUGUGAAUCAGGCGGUAUAGCGAUACCAGACUUCAAACUAUACUACAGAGCAAUAGUAACAAAAACAGCAUGGUACUGGUACCAAAACAGGCGGGUGGACCAAUGGUACAGAAUAGAGGACACAGAAACCAAUCCACAAAACUACAACUAUCUUAUAUUUGAUAAAGGGGCUAAAAGCAUGCAAUGGAGGAAGGAUAGCAUCUUCAACAAAUGGUGCUGGGAAAACUGGAAAUCCAUAUGCAACAAAAUGAAACUGAAUCCCUUUCUCUCGCCAUGCACAAAAGUGAAUUCAAAAUGGAUCAAGGAGCUUGAUAUCAAAUCAGAGACACGCCGUCUGAUAGAAGAAAAAGUUGGCUACGAUCUACAGUCGGUGGGGUCGGGCUCCAAAUUCCUCAAUAGGACACCCAUAGCACAAAAGUUAAUAACUAGAAUCAACAAAUGGGACUUACUCAAACUAAAAAGUUUUUUCUCAGCAAAAGAAACAAUAAGAGAGGUAAAUAGGGAGCCUACACCCUGGGAACAAAUCUUUACUCCUCACACUUCAGAUAGAGCCCUAAUAUCCAGAGUAUACAAAGAACUCAAAAAAUUAGACAAUAAGAGAACAAACAACCCAAUCAACAAAUGGGCCAAGGACCUGAACAGACACUUCUCAGAGGAGGACAUACAGUCAAUCAACAAGUACAUGAAAAAAUGCUCAACAUCUCUAGCUGUCAGAGAAAUGCAAAUCAAAACCACCCUAAGAUACCAUCUCACUCCAGUAAGAUUGGCAGCCAUUAGGAAGUCAAACAACAACAAGUGCUGGCGAGGAUGUGGGGAAAAGGGUACACUUGUACAUUGCUGGUGGGACUGCAGAUUGGUGCAGCCAAUUUGGAAAGCAGUAUGGAGAUUUCUUGGAAAGCUGGGAAUGGAGCCACCAUUUGACCCAGCUAUUCCCCUUCUUGGUCUAUUCCCUAAAGACCUAAAAAGAGCAUGCUACAGGGACACUGCUACAUCGAUGUUCAUAGCAGCACAGUUCACAAUAGCAAGACUGUGGAACCAACCUAGAUGCCCUUCAAUAGACGAAUGGAUAAAAAAAAUGUGGCAUUUAUACACAAUGGAGUAUUACUCUGCAUUAAAAAAUGACAAAAUCAUAGAAUUUACAGGGAAAUGGAUGGCAUUAGAGCAGAUUAUGCUAAGUGAAGCUAGCCAAUCCCUAAAAAACAAAUGCCAAAUGUCUUCUUUGAUAUAAGGAGAGUAACUAAGAUCAGAGUAGGGACGAAGAGCAGGAGAAGAAGAUUAACAUUUAACAGGGAUGAGAGGUGGGAGGGAAAGGGAGAGAGAAGGGAAAUUGCAUGGUAAUGGAAGGAGACCCUCAGGGUUAUACAGUGGAGGGGGUAGAGAGAGAGGAGGGGAGGGGAGGGGAGAGGUGGGGAGGGGGGAGGGUGGAGGAUGGGAAAGGCAGCGGAGCACAACAGACACUAGUAUGGCAAUAUGUAAAUCAAUGGAUGUGUAACUGAUGUGAUUCUGCAAUCUGUGUAUGGGGUGAAGGUGGGAGUUCAUAAUCCACUUGAAUCAAAGUGUGGAAUAUGAUAUGUCAAGAAAUUUGUAAUGUUUUGAACAACCCAAAAUAAAAAAUUAAAAAUAAUAAAAAAUAAAGAAUCAAAUCUCCCCUCCCACCCCCACCAUACCUCUCCUCAUAUUGGGGAUUGAACCCAUGGAUACCCUAAUACUGAGCUACAUACCCAGCUGUUUUGUUUUGUUUUGUUUUGUUUUUAACUUCAAGACAAAAUCUUGCUGGAGCUGGCCUCAAACUUGUGAUCCUCCAGCGUAAGUCUCCUGAGUUGCUGGAAUUACAAACUUGAGUCACCAUACCCAGCUAAGAAUUAAAUAUUUUACUUUUGUCUUCAUUCUUUGAAGUUAGUUCUAUGCUUACAAUUGUAUCACUAAUGAUUUCUAAAAUUAUCUAAUCUAAAUUUUAUUCCUUAAAUAAUUAUUUAUCAUUCUGUGCUAGUUGGAACAGAUAGGGCCCCAUGCUUACAGAGGUUAUAGUCUGGAGAUAAUAGAGAAGAAAAUAAAUAGAGAAGAAAAUAUGGUGGUAUACAAGUUCUGUAAAAGUGAGGUAUAUCUUCUAAGAACACAUUAAAAAAAAAGUCUGUGCCUUCGCUCCAUGCUAGGAAAUCCAGGAGCUAGAAAGAGGCUAUGAAAAGAUAGGAAGUGGCCAUUGUGGUUAUGAUGUGAUUUGUAUUAUAUACACUGAUUAGUAAAUAAGAACACAUAUUGAGAAUAAUGAAAGCCAGCUUUUCCAGUGUUAGAUAUUUACAAAUGAGAAAGGAUGAGGGCUGACAAUAAUCUUGAGGUAUCUGAUUUCAACCAGAGAUUAUGGAUUUAUUGUAUUACUGAAUUUAUGGCAUGCAGAUGUGCCAUAUACAUACACACAAAUAGAGAUAAAAAUUAGUUAUAGAUGUACAUGAGUAUGCAUAUGUUUGUACCUGUACACAUACUUAGAUUUUCAAACUCAUUGUUUAUUGAGAGGGUCUAAAAGUGGUGUGUCCGAUUAAUAAGAAUACUCUGAUAAUCCAGAUAUUGAUGCCUAAUGGCUGUCUGAAAUACAGGUAUGUGUGUAUGUGUGUGGGGGUGCAUGCAUGUGAACACUAUACACACAUGUAGAUGGAUGGAUGGAUAGACAUACAGCAGACAGGAACAAACAGAAAGGGAUAAUGAGAAAAAGGGUGGAAAUAAGACAAAUGUGAUGAAAUAUUGACAACUGGGGAACUGGGUCAAAUUAUAUGGUGAUUUUAUGUACUGUUCAGUCAAUUUUUCGUAAGUUUGAAAUUUUAAACACACACACAAUAUAUAUGGAGGACUAAACCCUCAGGCUGGGGCUGUAGUAGACAAUUUGUUAGAAAGUGAUCCCAACGCUGAGAUCUAAAAGAUGUCAACACUGGCCACUUUGAGCAUUCUGAGGAAAGAUUUUUAAGUUUGAUUUGUAUUUUGUCUUGUUUUUCUUUCCUUUUUUUUUUUAAAAUGGUGCAUUUGUCUUUGUUCUAAUGGUUGGCAUUUGGAUAUUAUUGAUGAAAACAUGAAUAGGAGAAAAGGAAAUUUGUACAGGUGAAGAUUAGAAUGUGAAUGUGCCAGUGACAAAAAAUUAGCCUAGAGAAGUAAGCAAGGAAAAGCUCAUAAUUGGAACUCUAUAAUAGAUAUAUAUUGGGUGUGCUUGUAAACAAAAAAUUAAAAGAAUUAUGAAAGUGGAUUAAGAAAUUACUAUUCUUUACUGCAUCGCAAAUGAUAACAAUUAAGGAAACAGUUCUUAUCUGGUUCUAUAAGUUUAUCAAUGUUAAAUCUCUCUGAAAUAUUUGAAUAUUUAACUAAAUAAGAUUUUCUAAUUUUAAGUUAAAUUAGCAAAUCUUUAUAGAAGUUCUCAUUAUGAUGUGUGGAUACUCAUAGCAUCAGCAAAUUUAAAUCUCUAGUAGGUAGAUUCACUUCUACAUGCAGCUCAGACAACUGUUAGAAACUUGUGUUUAGUAUGUAUCCCAGCAUAAAGCAAACCUUAUCUAUUUUGUAUUCCAGCGUAAAACAAUCCUUAUUAAUCUUAAUCUUUUUCAGUUCUAGUUUCCUUUUCCUGUCUAACCAAAUUGUUUGAACUUAAUAGGAAUAUUUUUCUUAAUCAUUUCUUAGGUCAAAUGUGACUAAAAUAAAAAAUACAUUGGUCUGUUGGCAUUUUAGUCCUGUUUCUAUUGAAACAACAAAUAAGUAAAAUAUUCUGUAAAAAUAACUUACUGUUUUUAAAAUAUAUAUAUUUUUAUAUAGAUGGACACAAUACCUUUAUUUUGUUUAGUUUUUUUAUGUGGUUCCGGGGAUCAAACCCAGUGCCUCACCCAUGCUAGGCAAGCACUCUACCACUGAGCCACAACCCCAGCCCCCAAAAUAACUUACUUGGAAGCUAAAUUAGUUAUUUCAGUAACUUUAGCAAAUUAAAUUUUAGAAAAAUCAUUAUACUUCUGAGGAAGAAAUAGGAUGGCUUUUGUGUAGACUUUUGUUUUCCCCAAAAUGCUUAUUUUGUUUGCCACAAAAUUGGGCAAAGGAGAAUCUUUUUAGAGCCAAGAACUUAUAUUAAGUAUAUAGAACUAUGAAAUUUACAGAUUACUGUGAAAUAUAAAAAUUUUGAGAAAUACUUAAAUGCAUUAUGUAGUUAUAGGAAUUAAAUAAUAAAUAUUAAAAGCACUUAUUUACAAAUGCUUACAAUAUUUAAUUUUUAUUUUGUUUACCAAAUUGCUAGGCACUUGGAGGUGUCCCAGGAAGUCAGCCAUUACUCCCCAGUGGAAUGGACCCAACGCGACAACAAGGUGACUAAUGUAGAAAUGAAAAUGAACCAAAGAGAAAUUCUUUAUUGUUAAUGAAAUUUUUAUUUAUUAAGCCUUCCAUAAUUUUACCAGUUGUAAUUUCAAGUAAUAUGGCUGAAUGAUUUAUGUUUUCAACUAGUUAUGUACAAUAGAAAGGGUGGUAAUAAUAAAAAACAGAAUACAUAAAUGUCCAAAAUUCUGUAUUUUAAUUAAUAACUUCUAAAAUACUUUACACAAUUUCUAACAAGUAGGAAGCUAAAUUAUUAUAUCAUUUAUGAUUUCCUCUGCCUUUUUCAGAUAGAGAAGUUAAUCCACCUGAAAGAUGGCAGAAGCAAAGAGGAUGCUAAGUAAUGACUUCAUUGGUUUAACAUUCCCAAUAAUCAGGUCCUUCCAUAGAGAUGUUGAAAGAUAUUUAAAUAUCUACAGAUAUUUAAAGCUCAGUUGUACUAUUUUUAGAAAGAGGAACAAAUGCUAGGAAAGAAGCAUUUCUUUCUACUCGACCUAGAGUAGGAAGAAAUUUUCAAGCAGGAGAUUAAGGGGGAAUGUGAAUAGGUGGUAGUUAGAGGUAAAAUAGUGACCAUAGAAACUGACCACAGAAACCAAAAUAAGAGGUCAUCAGACACUUGGUAAAUAAGAUACAGAUACACCUAGAAGGAAGGAGGCUAGCUUCCAGUUUAGCACUCGUGACCAUUACAUUUCUAAUAUCUUCAUACUUUUUUUAGGACAUCCAAAUAUGGGUGGGCCAAUGCAGAGAAUGACUCCUCCAAGAGGAAUGGUGCCCUUAGGACCACAG
This 14609-nucleotide long non-coding RNA is filed under the name Marmota monax (woodchuck). Lineage: Eukaryota; Metazoa; Chordata; Mammalia; Rodentia; Sciuridae. The record is from RNAcentral.